GUAGGUGAACCUGCGGAAGGAUCAUUACCUUUCAAUGCAGAAGAGUUGGGAUGGUUGAGUAUCUCGCCUCUCAAUUCUCGCUGUAUUUUACCCUUGUUUUUCUCAUACUAUUAUUUCCUCGGCAGGCUCGCCUGCCGGGUGAAACAACUUCAAACCUGUUUAAUUUUCAAUCAGCGUCUGAACAAAUUAAUAAUUACAACUUUCAACAACGGAUCUCUUGGUUCUG
RNAcentral lists this unclassified non-coding RNA (226 nucleotides) under rhizosphere metagenome. RNAcentral describes it as "partial ribosomal RNA internal transcribed spacer region". The record is from RNAcentral.